Molecule: non-coding RNA, 73 nt
Organism: Ciona savignyi (Pacific transparent sea squirt)
Lineage: Eukaryota; Metazoa; Chordata; Ascidiacea; Phlebobranchia; Cionidae
Source: Rfam
GCCCGGUUAGCUCUGCCGGUAGAGCGUUGGACUUUUAAUCCAAAGGCCAAGGUUUCAAGUCCCUUAUCGGGCU